AUGGAUGCCUAGGAAUUUAACAGCAAAAAGGCAGGAAAGGCAUUGUCGUUCCAAGGAUCCAUCUGAGGAAAGAUUCAGAGCACCUAUAAGCGGGAGAGUAUCUAGAAUAAUCAAAGGCCUUGGGUCCAUGCCAGAUGAGGAUGAGUUGAAGAACCAGUUGUAUUUUUCCUGGAAAAGUGAAGGCUCAACGUGGGAGAGUGAGCCAUGAUAUGUCUUCAAAGUGAUGAAAAACUUACAUAUGGUCUUGUUCUGUUUGACACCAGAGGGCAGAUCUGAGAACAGUAUGGACAUCACAAAGAGGACAGGUAGAACUAGACAGAUACUGAGGCCCCAUCCAACGUUGAAAUUCUGUGAUUCUGAGAAACACGUGAAGAAUCUUGUACAUGGCUGCAGGGUGAAGUAGCAGAACCAAGAGAAAAAUGGGCACAAUAAUGGCGCAAUGUAAACACCAAUCUGGAAAGGCAGCUGAGAUCCUGCAUGGCCAGUGCUGAUCUGCAGAGAGCCAGUGACAAAACUCUAGCUCCCACUCCUUUCUUUAGACAGGGAAGAAAUCAGACACUUAAAAUGUUGCACACUCCCUCAGACACAAUUCUGCUAUCCUUGGUUUGGUUAUUUUUUUUUCUCUGCCACAAGAGAGGAUUUCACAAAGAAGAAGUAAUAUUGGUAAAUGAUGGAGGUAUUCAAAGCAAAAGGCAUUGAUAAAACUGAAAAAAGCCACCAUCAAAUCCCAGUUCAAAUGCUUGUUUCCUCACCAUUAUAAAGCUUGUAUUCAAAUGGUCAAUGCAUAAGUGAACAGAAAUGUCUAGACUUCCAAAUAA
Molecule: long non-coding RNA, 818 nt
Organism: Antechinus flavipes (yellow-footed antechinus)
Lineage: Eukaryota; Metazoa; Chordata; Mammalia; Dasyuromorphia; Dasyuridae
Exons: 3
Source: RefSeq, a predicted model, not a curated record